This is a long non-coding RNA of Bombus impatiens (common eastern bumble bee), 2424 nucleotides long. RefSeq lists it as uncharacterized. Lineage: Eukaryota; Metazoa; Arthropoda; Insecta; Hymenoptera; Apidae. The transcript is spliced from 2 exons. The record is from RefSeq and is a predicted model, not a curated record.
CUCACCUCUCCUGGAAACAGCCUCCCCCUGUUGUCUGUCAACUGAGAACGUGGAUUUCGUACUCGGUCACCACCAUUUUACGUACACUCUAGAAAAAAAACAUCGAAUUUUAUCAAUCGAUUUGCCCAAUUUCUCUUCUCCGUUGCACGAAACAAUCGCCACACGAUCGAACGCAGUUCGUUAGUUUGCGUAAUUAUCGGCGCGAAAGCGCACAUUGUCGUCGGUUGUCGCGAGAACGUCCGUCUCGAAGGAGGCCCGAGACCACGGAAUACCAUCGUGGCUAGUGACACGGUAAUUUCGUUGUUGAAAUCGCUGUGCGUGGCAGCGCACUGACUUUCUAUGAUGCGAGGCAGAUUUUUUACCUUUUUUCGUACAGCCUACCACGUAUACAGCCACGUGUAUGCCUCUCGAAGAGAACGCGCGACUUUUCCUUCGCGAAUUUUCCUCCAGUACACCGCUUCGAUAACGCUACACACACCUAGCUACCACUCUACGCCGCUAAGCCGAUCGAAGUCGUCGACCGAAUCAAGCGAGCAAGCAAUAUUCCGCGUUCCAAAAUACAGCAGCUGUUUAUUAACUGGUGAAAAAGUUAUCUCGCUAAAAUCGGUGUUCGACGAUCGACCAACCUAACCCUCGAACGAUAACGGGUUCGAUUCGAGGAACGAGCGCCGAUUAAAUCGCGACACGCAGCUGUGCUGUGCAACUCGAGAAUCGACCGCGUUUUCUCGAUCUUUGGAAAUCGUCCGUUUCUUUUCUCCCUGUCGUUAAUGCCACUUCUCCCGCAACCAAGAAUCGCAUCGAGAUUGCCGGUUAACGAGUACCACGCGAUUUCUCGAAUCGUUCGAUUCUGAUUCACCAUCGAGAUAAUGUCUUUACGCCCGAUUGCAUAAGAGAUUCGCGUGCUCGGGUCCGUCACGUGAUACGCAAUUAAGGACCAGAUACUUAUUAGGAGUUAUUUGUCAGGCGACUUAUUCCGCCGCUCCAUAUAUUUAAUUACAGUGUAUUUUACGCUUGCUCGAUAUUAUCUCGCAGCUCGAUAUUAUAUCGUUUCGUUCGAUCCUUUAUUACAUCAUUUUUAAUCUGUAGGCCAUGUUUCGCAUACUCAAACUAAUUAUCGCAGAUUAGUCGCCGAUCCUACAUUAAAUAAAACGUUAAAAUAGAUUAAUUUUAUAAUGGCCAUCGUUAUCUCGUUUAAUCGCCGAUACAACAACGAUUAAACGGUGCAAGAUAAUCCACGCGUCUCGCACUUGUGUGGCAAUUUAUCUACUCGACACUACUCGAAAACGUGACAAAACGUUGCAAAAUAAUUAUUUUAAUCUUUGCGUCAUGUUUAAUCUGUACAGUUUUUUAUAAUGUUUGCCUGAACAUCGUGAACAUAUUUCUGGAUUUCAAGUACGCCAUUCCUACGUAUUAUUUCUACGUAUUAUUCCUACCGUUUGUUUUUCAUUCGAACGUCAAAACGACAAUCGUCUACGUGUAAAUCAUUGUACAUGAGCGACCAGGUCAGAGGUCAGAGAGUAAAAUUGGAUUCGCACAAAGCAAAGCGGCACGCGCUUCGUUUACGUACAGGUGCGGCGUAGCAAAUAUUACGUCAUUUACACGAAUAAAUCACUCGCGCUAACCAUAAAGAUACUUUGUUGUACUUUGCAACUAUCGCAACGUAUUUAAUCGUAUUAUAACGUCGGCCAGAGAAGGUAGUGGAAACGAAACAGAGGAUAGCCCGAGGAAACCAUCGUUUUAUACUCUAUACUCUCUGCUCUAUACUCUAUACUCUAUACUCUUCAGUACCUGUACUACCCUAUACUACCCUGUACUAUACAUUCUGAACGAUUUGGCCGAACCAAGCAUUCGAUCGAUUUGACAACAAAUCAUGCUAAAUAUUUUUCCAAUAAUUUUCACACGAUCUUCGAAUAAGAAUCGCGAAUAUCCAGUAUAUACGAUGCAUACGAUACAAUGUAUAGGUUCGAGGUUAGAUUAAAUUCGAUUAUUUAAAGCGCCGUAUAUUACCCUCAUCGAGAUAUCGAAGUAGGCGUAGGUCACUGUCACACAGAGUGUCUAUUUUUGAACGAUCGAUCGUGUGUUCGCACGAGUGCGAAAUGUUCACAUAACGUACAGAGUACGCGAGUUCCAUCGAACCUCCGGCAAAGACUGUUCUCGAAAGCGGUUCUUCUUCGUCUUGGAAAGCUUCGUUUGAAACACCAUUUGCCGUGUCUGACUUUCAACGGACAACUCGUAGCAGAGUUUCAGCUCGCGGUCGAUUUCUCGCAUCCGUACUCGAGACUAAAAACCCGAAACCUGCCCCUUUCACCGAUUCUAUGCGAGAAAUAACGAGACGACGACGGAAGGAUCGAUCGUCGAAAAGUCAACGGCACACAGGACCGUAUAUACCUUCGUGUAUUUGUCGCAUCGAUCCAUUUCUAAAUU